AACGGAUCUCUUGGUUCCAGCAUCGAUGAAGAACGCAGCGAAAUGCGAUAAGUAAUGUGAAUUGCAGAAUUCAGUGAAUCAUCGAAUCUUUGAACGCACAUUGCGCCCCUCGGUAUUCCGGGGGGCAUGCCUGUUCGAGCG
This 141-nucleotide ribosomal RNA is filed under the name Hypogymnia pruinosa. RNAcentral describes it as "5.8S ribosomal RNA". It matches the Rfam family "5.8S ribosomal RNA". Rfam says of the family: 5.8S ribosomal RNA (5.8S rRNA) is a component of the large subunit of the eukaryotic ribosome. It is transcribed by RNA polymerase I as part of the 45S precursor that also contains 18S and 28S rRNA. Lineage: Eukaryota; Fungi; Ascomycota; Lecanoromycetes; Lecanorales; Parmeliaceae. The record is from RNAcentral.